This 292-nucleotide ribosomal RNA is filed under the name uncultured Limnohabitans sp. RNAcentral's name for it is "partial 16S ribosomal RNA". It matches the Rfam family "Bacterial small subunit ribosomal RNA", at positions 505 to 796 of the family's 1533-position model. The record is from RNAcentral. Lineage: Bacteria; Pseudomonadati; Pseudomonadota; Betaproteobacteria; Burkholderiales; Comamonadaceae.
GUGUCAGCCGCCGCGGUAAUACGUAGGGUGCAAGCGUUAAUCGGAAUUACUGGGCGUAAGGCGUGCGCAGGCGGUUAUAUAAGUCAGAUGUGAAAUCCCCGGGCUCAACCUGGGAACUACAUUUGAGACUGUAUAGCUAGAGUACGGUAGAGGGGGAUGGAAUUCCGCGUGUAGCAGUGAAAUGCGUAGGUAUGCGGAGGAACACCGAUGGCGAAGGCAAUCCCCUGGACCUGUACUGACGCUCAUGCACGAAAGCGUGGGGAGCAAACAGGAUUAGAUACCCCCGUAGUCC